UUCCUGUUUAAUUGUAACUAUGUGCACUUGCUAACUUCAAUUUAUUAUCUAAUCUUAAAAACAUUAUUAAUUGAUGCCAAGUUUUGUUUGAAAGGAAAAACCUCUACGGAAGUCGCCUUUUUCGUGAUCGAUCCAUUUUCGUUAUCCGAAUCCGCUCUUCGGCCUUAUAGAAGCCAGACAUUCGAAUAAAACAGUUUCAAAAUAAAUUAAGCCCCGAUGAAAUAAAUCUUGUACGUCUUUUGUAGGGUGGAGAUAACGUUCUUACAAAAACAUACCAUCAAUUUAGCUCUUCUGGCAAGAAGAUCAGACGGAAACCAUACAAGUAGUUUAUAUAACGUUGUCAAUUUCACCGAAGCCUUUUCAUUCGGAACAAAAUUGAUGAGUCGCGUUGCUACUAUUAUUAUCAGAUUUACUUAAACAGCCAGAAAGACAAAUUAAGAAC
Molecule: long non-coding RNA, 442 nt
Filed under: Mytilus galloprovincialis (Mediterranean mussel)
Lineage: Eukaryota; Metazoa; Mollusca; Bivalvia; Mytilida; Mytilidae
Source: RNAcentral